ACUGUGAGUGUGCCUUCCCUCUUGCCCUUGGCUUUGCAUCACUUACAGCCUGUCUUCCAGCUUCAACACUGCUGUUUUGCAUCUGUUUUGCUUGUUUCCUUUCUGUUUUGCUUCAGUGCUUAUGCUUCGGUUCUAAUGCUUGUUUUUUGCUGAUGCUUUGGCUUUAUUUACCCCUCUUUUAAGUGUUUUGUCACUCUGUUAGCUACUGUUUUAAUUUCAUCCUUGCGCCUAGCCUACCUCUCUAUUGGUAACCAAUCCCAGGUGGCAUGGUCGGUAUUUGCUAUAAUGGCAUAAAAUCUCUAAGGUUUAUUAGUGGAAAUGUUUGGUAUAUCUCUCUCUCUCCCAAAUCACCACACCACCACAAAAUGAACUUAUCACCUCCAUUUAUGAUUAAACAUUUAUACACACAUACCUCAUAUAUUAUCUUUAUACUGUAACCUUAAUUGACAAUAAAUGUACCUAAUGCAGAACUAAAUAAUACAAACCUGAAAUGUCUUUUGACUAUUUUAUUUUAUAAUUAUUUUUAAUAAGCUACUAGUUAGAUUUUUUAUUAUUAACUCUGAGAGUGCAAAGAAGUGCAAAGAAAGAAAGAGGCUACUCUACUAUAAGCCAUAUUACCAAAAUAUUUUACUGUUAGGAUAAAAACUGUAAGGGUAUAAUACAAAUGAUCACAGACAUAAAAACACUUACACAUUUUCACUUGUAAUGUUUACCUUAUUUUCUUUUUGCAGGAAUUUCAGAAGCAGCUUUCCAUAGCUAAGCACAUGCUAGUCAUUGGGAAUGGAGGAAUUGCAUUGGAAUUUGUCUAUGAAGUGGAGGGCUGUGAGGUGAUCUGGGCCAUAAAGGACAAGGCCAUAGGGAAUACGUUCUUUGAUGCUGGAGCUGCUCAAUUCCUCAUCCCCUCACUGGAGGUGGAGAAGCCUGAGAAAACACUGCCCUGCAAGAGAGCACUGUCAUACGACAAACUUGGAAACAUGGCAAAACAACAAACAAAACAAAGACGGGCACACAAGGGCUCGUAUAUACAGCCAAACCUCACUUGGCGAGCACCUCCCAUAAUGAUUGAUUCGCAUAACGAGCUAAACAAAUUGUAAAAUGACUCGCUUAACGAGCGACGUUUCACAUAACGAGUGACGACGAGACAACGUGAGGCGGCUUCUCGGCGAUCCGUCUGUGUUUAGCGCUCGUUCUGCCAGCAUCUUAAUGUCACUUGUGAUCGUACAUUUUUCCAAACUUGUGUUUUGCUCGUUUUGCUUAACGAGUGUUUCGCAUUACGAGUAAGAUUCGGGAAUGAAUUAUGCUCAUUAAGCGAGGUUCCACUGUAUAGGGCAAAACAUCAAGGUAAAUGGGGAAUUGGUGACAAGGCAGGAAGGCAGAACAAUAAGGAGGGCGUGUCACAAAGUACAAGGGAAAACAACAAACUCUGCCAAUUCACCUGCCAGCACCCCCUCCAGUGGUCUGGCAGGGGACUGUCCCAGUGAUUCCUGACACUGUGGCCGUUGUUGCACAUAUUUAAAACAUUUAGGAUAAUGUACUAUACUAAUGUUGUUAGUGUGUUGUUUCACACCAGGUGCAGCAGGGCUUGGUAGUGCCCUAGGUCCAGACUGGCACCAAGACAUAUCAGACUAAGGGGAGAAGAGGAGGUGGUGCUGCUGGGAAAGUUUAAUGCUCAGGGCCUGGGUGAGGAUCAUGAACUGCUGGUGCGCUGCACCAAAACUAAAGGCAUGGAGUAUGUGAAGGUGGUGUUGAGUCGAGGCCGUAUUAUGGGGGCUGUCCUUAUCG
Molecule: long non-coding RNA, 1782 nt
Organism: Hemibagrus wyckioides
Lineage: Eukaryota; Metazoa; Chordata; Actinopteri; Siluriformes; Bagridae
Exons: 4
Source: RefSeq, a predicted model, not a curated record